AAAACGUAAAAUCUCUUUUUUUUGGAUUUUUGAUUUAUAAUACAUUUUUCAAAUACAAAAAAAAGGAAGUGCAAUAACAAAAAGAUCGACAUUACAAUACAAAACUAGAAGGUAAAAAAGACAUAAAAAGAAAAACAGACUCAAAACAUAAAAACUAAAAAAAAUAAAAAAUCUCCUCAAGCAACUCCUGAAUGAGCGAUCCUGCUUGGAUGAUCCGGGUUGUCUGUCAUUCUCAAACUCCGGUAAGUAGACCCACACCUGUAUGAGAAAAUUGAGACCAAAUAAAGUUAAAGACCCAUAACACUAUGUGAGACAAUAACCCUUACUGUUGGACACAUGCUAGACAUGAUUGUGACUAUUUUUGCAAAAUGACUUAUAUGGCCAAAAUUUGGCUAGAAGAACAAAAUUUGGCUAAGACCCCACAAAGCCAAGACCCUAAGAUUCACUAGGAAGACCGGACCCUAUGUGGGUUACCUACGUAUCAUGCCCCGAAAGACGAGAAUCAGGUAUGCGUAGUUCGGGCAGAUUGGAUACAGGCGAGAAUUAAAUAAAAUAACUAAUUUAAAGAAAAUAUGUUUUUUUUUGGUUUUAUUUUUUGAAAAAUGAUGAAACAUGUAAACUCUUUUUGGAUUUUAUUUUCCCUUUUUUGAUCUUUUUUUUUUGGAAAAUGAUAGGAAAGUGCAAAAUCUUUUUGGAUUUUUCAUUUUUUUCUUGUCUUUUUCUUUAAAAAAAAUGUGAAAGAAAAAUAUAACUGGAUCCUACUUGCUUUAUUUUUCACACUUCAACCUCUUUUCUUUCUCAUUUAUCCUCAGCCAUCAUUGGUCUGCCAAAUGACCAUUUUACCCGUGAAGAAAUGCAACAUGUAACACAUAGGAUGCAUCAGGAUGGUCAUUUAUUUUUGGGUACACUUAUCCUAGACGGACCCGACCCCUGUGUUGAGUCCCCUAAGUCAAAUGCACGUGAUGAAAUCAAACAUUCCUACUAGAGAUUCGGUAUGAGGUUAUGUUAUUCUAGGUUUAAACCUGGGGUUGUGUUCUUGACCUGGCUUACCCGAGCGGACAACUCGAGUCGAAGAGGGGGCAACGUACCGGGAGCACGAAAGUCUAUCCGGCCUUGUUGCUGGCCCAACCUCGUUCUAUUUGGUAUAAAUUCUAACAUAAAAGUGGUCCACGUGAACGUGUGCACCAUUUUUUUAGAAGACUCAGGUGGGAAGCGUAAGAAGAUAGUUUAAUACAAUUCAAAUAAUAUCAAAGCGGUAAAUAAGCAGCAGUUAGCACAUUAGGUCCACAAAUACAGUAAUAUGAACAAUAAAUAAAGCCAAAUAAAGAUCACAAAACAAGCUCGAAUUCUUGAACCCUGAACUAAAAGUUCUGGAUUCUUAUCCCAGCGGAGUCGCCAGAGCUGUCACACCUCCUUUUUCUACCCCGAAAGGGAUAUAAGGGAGUUUUUUCCAAUUUAAGUGACAAUCGAAACAGGAUUAUUUAUUCAAAUUCAGAGUCGCCACUUGGGAUAAUUUAUGGUGUCCCAAGUCACCGGUUUAAAAUCCGUAAUCGAGGAAAGUUUGACUCUUAUUUAUGGUCUGCGAACACAGAAAUCCGGGUAAGGAAUUCUAUUAACCCUGGAGAAGGUGUUAGACAUUCCCGGGUUCCAUGGUUUCAGCACGGUCGCUUUGAUCAUACCUGGCUUAAUCAAAUUGUCUAAUUACUCAUUUUUAGAACCUAUGUGCAUUUGCCUUUUUUAAUUAAGAAAUUAUUUUAAAACAUCUCACGCGCACGUGUACCCAUUUGUUUGGCAUGUCAAGAAUCAUGUCACGCGAACGUGUCCCCAAUUAAUAACGCUUUAUUAUUGUUAAGAAUGUUUAGUCAAAGUAGCGCGAACGCAUACUCCAAUUUUUGUUUUAAAAUCGUAAUUAUGUCGCGCGAAUGUAUACACAAUCAUGAUGGUAUAUUGAUCGUGCCUAAAGCAAGCAACGAAUAUUCAUCUUUAGAAACCAUAAUCAUGUCACGCGAACGUGUACAUAAUCAUGAUAAUAAAUUCAAAACGCGCCUUAAGGUUCACCUACCCAAAUGUGGUCGGCCUAAACGUGCUCCUAGCGUUAUUAUUAUGAAAUUAAAAUGAAAGCAAGAAAAGUUUUCUAAGCCUAAUAGAGUAAAAUUCAAUCCACAAUCCUAAUCAAAUUUCGUGAAUCAACACUCAUACGAGAGAAUGUAACUCCACUCGAUUUUUCAUUUAACCCAAUAGUUACUUAAAUCAAUCCAAACCCAAUUACCAUUCAUUCCAAUCGAUGUUGUGGCUCACUUCAUACUCUCAAUGAAGUUUAGCCCAAAAUUAUUAACCCAACAUAUCAACGUGUUCAUCACUGGAAAAUAAACCUAACUAACUAAUUCAUUUAUGUUCCGAAUAAUGUAUCAAAUUCAAAUUAAACAAAACAAUUUAAAUUAAGCAAAAAAAAAAAAAACAGUUUCAAGCAAACAACAAAACAACAGAAUGAUCGUACAGCAAUUAUAAUCAUCAAACAUUGAUUAAAAAUAUAGAUAGAAAUUUUUUAAAUCAAAUUAAGAGAUGAACCUCACAGUGAUAACCCUUUAGAUUAUUGAACUCCGACCAAAAGACUGGGAUGGCCACAUGAACACUACCACGAACCACGAACGGGAACCAACGGCCAACGGCGAACUCGAACAGACCCAAAACCAACUCCAAUAUUCAAUCAAAACCCAUCAUUUUGAAGUUGUUUCUUGCUGUUGGGGUCUGUGUUCUUGUGUGUGUGUGUUGGGUUCAAAGAAGAAGAAGAGGCUGAAGGGAGACGGUUGGAGCUCUUAGGCCCAUUCAUUGAUCCUUCUCUUGGUAAAGAUGAAAGGUUUUCCUAAGGGUCCAUGGCUGCUCUAGUUGUGAUGGAUGAAGAAGAAGAUGUGGUGGCGAUGGGUAGUCAUCGCCGAUGGAGCUCUUGGAGUCAUUGGUUUCGGCCUGUAGAAGAAGAAGCAAAUGGGUCCUGAAAUGUGAAAUCGAAGAAGCUCACGCUAGGGUUCUUGUGUUUUUCCAUUGAAGAAGAUGACUCACAAGUCUCUCUUGUCAAAAACGGAUCAAACAUUUCCUCUAGGUUAGGCGUUUGGUUCCCAGAUUAGGAAGGAGAAGGGUCACUUUUGGUUUUGCUGAAGAAGAUCUCUGGUUUUUCGUUCAGUCAUUUUUAUUUUUAGUCCUAGGUCUAGUGGCUGCUUAGGGUGUACUGCUGUUGGCGUUUGGGAGGAGGGAUGAAGAAGACGAAGUUUCAGGGGGGGAGGGGUCUGAAAUUGAUAAAAAACGGCGGAUGUUCCAAGGUCCUCGGCGUUAGGUCU
RNAcentral lists this long non-coding RNA (3332 nucleotides) under Nicotiana tabacum (common tobacco). RNAcentral describes it as "long non-coding RNA (NTAB_LNC009595)". Lineage: Eukaryota; Viridiplantae; Streptophyta; Magnoliopsida; Solanales; Solanaceae. The record is from RNAcentral.